This 301-nucleotide ribosomal RNA is filed under the name uncultured bacterium. RNAcentral describes it as "partial 16S ribosomal RNA". It matches the Rfam family "Bacterial small subunit ribosomal RNA", at positions 509 to 807 of the family's 1533-position model. The record is from RNAcentral.
CAGCAGCCGCGGUAAUACGUAGGGUGCAAGCGUUAUCCGGAAUUAUUGGGCGUAAAGAGCUCGUAGGCGGUUUGUCGCGUCUGUCGUGAAAGUCCGGGGCUCAACUCCGGAUCUGCGGUGGGUACGGGCAGACUAGAGUGAUGUAGGGGAGACUGGAAUUCCUGGUGUAGCGGUGGAAUGCGCAGAUAUCAGGAGGAACACCGAUGGCGAAGGCAGGUCUCUGGGCAUUAACUGACGCUGAGGAGCGAAAGCAUGGGGAGCGAACAGGAUUAGAUACCCGUGUAGUCCCUGUCUCUUAUAC